Molecule: long non-coding RNA, 388 nt
Filed under: Hordeum vulgare
Lineage: Eukaryota; Viridiplantae; Streptophyta; Magnoliopsida; Poales; Poaceae
Description: long non-coding RNA (HVUL_LNC008895)
Source: RNAcentral
CCCGCAUUCCAGUGAUAUCAUUGUUUGAAUCCAUGUGUCCUGCUUAAGCUCAGCAAUCCAUCCGAAGGUUCAUAAGUCAUAACAAAACUACAUAGUUGCUUUUAACGUCCAAUCAUCAAGUUUACAAGAGUAAAAUCUCUACUAAAUGAGUAAGACUUCCAUGGUUCAACAGAUAUCAAGCUUUAUUCUUCCUGAUGCAGAAAACCAUCGCAUCGCCUGGCAGGGGUAUCCUUGCCAUGGAUGAGUCGAAUGCUACCUGUGGCAAGAGACUUGCCUCGAUUGGCCUUGAGAACACCGAGGCUAACCGCCAGGCUUACCGGACCCUCCUUGUCACUCCACCAGGCUUGGGAAACUACAUCUCUGGUGCUAUCCUCUUUGAGGAGACCCU